CCCUAANCCUCAGUAGUUAAAACAACAAAACYACUCGCCAGAAUACUACAAGCAACAGCUUGAAACUCAAAGGACUUGGCGGUGCUUCACAUCCCCCUAGAGGAGCCUGUYCCAUAAUCGAUAAACCCCGAUCUACCCCACCCUCUCUUGCUCAGCCUAUAUACCGCCAUCUUCAGCAAACCCUGAUAAAGGUUACAAAGUGAGCGCAAAUGCCUAUCUUCGCAAAAACGUUAGGUCAAGGUGUAGCCCAUGAGAUGGUAAAAGAUGGGCUACAUUUUCUAUCUCAGAAAACCCUACGAUAACUCUCAUGAAACCUAAGAGUCCAAGGAGGAUUUAGCAGUAAAUUAAGARUAGAGUGCUUAAUUGAACUAGGCCAUAAAGCACGC
Molecule: ribosomal RNA, 386 nt
Filed under: Cercopithecus wolfi (Wolf's monkey)
Lineage: Eukaryota; Metazoa; Chordata; Mammalia; Primates; Cercopithecidae
Description: partial 12S ribosomal RNA
Rfam family: Bacterial small subunit ribosomal RNA
Source: RNAcentral